AAAAUAUCUAAGGGAGAGGGAGAGAGAGAACCGUGAAAGAGAGAUAGAGAGGGAAAGAUGAUCAUCCAUGGAAGCUUGGAAAAUUGAAGAGAUUAAAGGGGAAAAACAAGGAAUUAAGUUAAGAUCGAAACGAGGACACCGUCCCAUUGCUACCGGGAGCCGAUCACUGCACUCCACCUGGAGGUCAGCCUCAACCCAAGGCAUCCGUUCCUCUUAUGUCAACCUCAGGGUGUCCAGGCACUUAGAUGAAGGCAACUCAUUUUACGGAGUUUUGCUAAACUUUUGAUUUUGUACCCUGAUUGUCUGUCUAAAGAGGAAGUGUGUAUAAUCCUUUUACCUUUCAAUGCUUUUGUUAUACACCCAAUCUUGAGGGCUGGGUCUGUAUAUGUAUGUGUAUAAGCAUAUAGCUAAAUUCUCAGAUGCACGUCACUGUAUGUUUAUUUGCCUUAUGUUCCAUUAGUGAUCCUAGCAUGGUAGUUAUAGCUCAAUGGAGAUGGUUUUCUGUUAUUUUAAAAUAUUAAUGCUUCCGUUCAGGCC
This is a non-coding RNA of Camellia sinensis, 537 nucleotides long. NCBI's taxonomy places the organism in Eukaryota, Viridiplantae, Streptophyta, Magnoliopsida, Ericales, Theaceae. The record is from RefSeq and is a predicted model, not a curated record.